Molecule: ribosomal RNA, 165 nt
Filed under: Vigna umbellata (rice bean)
Lineage: Eukaryota; Viridiplantae; Streptophyta; Magnoliopsida; Fabales; Fabaceae
Description: partial large subunit ribosomal RNA
Rfam family: Eukaryotic large subunit ribosomal RNA
Source: RNAcentral
GACCUCAGGUCAGGCGGGGCUACCCGCUGAGUUUAAGCAUAUCCAAUAAGAGGAGGAAAAAGAAACUAACAAGGAUUUCCAUUAGUAACGGCGGAGCGAAACCGGGAAAGGGAAGGAACAGCCCCACCAUGAGAACUCGGUCUCGCCCUGGCGUUCGAAUUGUAG